CGGGCUGGUCUCAAACUUCUGGACACAAACAAUCCUCCACAUUGGCCUCCCAAAAUGCUGGAAUUACAGGUGUGAGCCACUGGACCAGCAGGACUCUAAAUUUUGGUGCUCAAAAAACAUUUGUUGAGUAAGUGAACCUGAGACUAUCAACAAGCAUUAUUUUAAAAUCACUAGCAAAGGAGAUUGUAAAAUCAGGAAGUAUAUCUAAGUCACCUCCAGUAGCCGUAACUCUACCUUGUCCAGUAAAAGGACAGUGUACAAAUCAUGAAUUCAAAUAACCACCAUGCAGGUCAAGAAGAUAAAAUCAGCAGCACAUUCCAGGUCACCCUCUUGUCUCUACCAUCCCUUCUCAUCUCUCCAAAUAUGACCAAUAACCUUAGUUUUGUCAGUGUUUGGAAUUUGUAUAAAUGUGAUUGUACAGAAUGUACCCUUUCGUAUCUGGUUUCUUUCAGUCAAUACUAUGCCUAUUUUAUUUAUUCAUGUUAAUGAAUGGAAAAAUAGUUCAUUUAUUUUAACUUCUGUUUGGCAUUCCGUUGUGUGAUCAUUCUACAAUAUAUGUAUUUUACCUAUAGCUGGUGGGCUUUGUGCGGCUUCCAGAAUAGUAAUGUUAUAUAUAGUGCUAUUAUAUUCAUUUUUGUAUGAAUACAAAUGGUACCUUUGUUUUGUUUUGAAUAGGAGGGGAUUUACUAGAUAAAUGGGUUAUGGGUGUUUUCAACUUUGACAGACCCUAAAAGUUUCUCAAAGUAAUAGUACCAAAUUACCUUCUCACCAGGAAUAUAAGAGGUCUAUUUUUUUCUAGGUCUUUGGUGAUAACUGCUGUUUUAGCCUUUUAAUUUUGUCAUAUUUGUUGAUUUGCUG
Molecule: long non-coding RNA, 858 nt
Organism: Homo sapiens (human)
Lineage: Eukaryota; Metazoa; Chordata; Mammalia; Primates; Hominidae
Product: long intergenic non-protein coding RNA 1036
Source: Ensembl